CCUACGGGUGGCAGCAGUGGGGAAUAUUGGACAAUGGGCGAAAGCCUGAUCCAGCCAUGCCGCGUGUGUGAAGAAGGCCUUCGGGUUGUAAAGCACUUUCAGUGGGGAAGAAAGCCUUGGGGCUAAUACCCUCGAGGAAGGACAUCACCCACAGAAGAAGCACCGGCUAACUCCGUGCCAGCAGCCGCGGUAAUACGGAGGGUGCGAGCGUUAAUCGGAAUUACUGGGCGUAAAGCGCGCGUAGGCGGUCUGAUAAGCCGGUUGUGAAAGCCCCGGGCUCAACCUGGGAACGGCAUCCGGAACUGUCCGGCUAGAGUGCAGGAGAGGAAGGUAGAAUUCCCGGUGUAGCGGUGACAUGCGUAGAGAUCGGGAGGAAUACCAGUGGCGAAGGCGGCCUUCUGGACUGACACUGACGCUGAGGUGCGAAAGCGUGGGUAGCAAACAGGAUUAGAUACCCUAGUAGUC
Molecule: ribosomal RNA, 465 nt
Filed under: Vreelandella stevensii
Lineage: Bacteria; Pseudomonadati; Pseudomonadota; Gammaproteobacteria; Oceanospirillales; Halomonadaceae
Description: partial 16S ribosomal RNA
Rfam family: Bacterial small subunit ribosomal RNA
Source: RNAcentral